UCCUUAGAUGUCCUGGGCCGCACGCGCGUUACACUGAUGCAUUCAACGAGCUUAUAACCUUGGCCGAGAGGCCCGGGCAAUCUUGUUAACGUGCAUCGUGAUAGGGAUGGAUUAUUGAAAUUAUUAAUCUUGAACGAGGAAUUCCUAGUAAACGCAGAUCAUCAAUCUGCAUUGAUUACGUCCCUGCCCUUUGUACACACCGCCCGUCGCACCUACCGAUUGGAUGGUCCGGUGAAGCCUCGGGAUUGUGGUUCUUGCCGCUUUAUUGUGGCGUGACCGCGAGAACUUGUCUAAACCUUAUCAUCUAGAGGAAGGUGAAGUCGUAACA
Molecule: ribosomal RNA, 328 nt
Filed under: uncultured eukaryote
Lineage: Eukaryota
Description: partial 18S ribosomal RNA
Rfam family: Eukaryotic small subunit ribosomal RNA
Source: RNAcentral